This 497-nucleotide ribosomal RNA is filed under the name uncultured bacterium. RNAcentral describes it as "partial 16S ribosomal RNA". It matches the Rfam family "Bacterial small subunit ribosomal RNA", at positions 28 to 507 of the family's 1533-position model. The record is from RNAcentral.
GACGAACGUUGGCGGCGUGCCUAAUACAUGCAAGUAGAACGCUGAAGAGAGGAGCUUGCUCUUCUUGGAUGAGUUGCGAACGGGUGAGUAACGCGUAGGUAACCUGCCUUGUAGCGGGGGAUAACUAUUGGAAACGAUAGCUAAUACCGCAUAACAAUGGAUGACACAUGUCAUUUAUUUGAAAGGGGCAAUUGCUCCACUACAAGAUGGACCUGCGUUGUAUUAGCUAGUAGGUGAGGUAACGGCUCACCUAGGCGACGAUACAUAGCCGACCUGAGAGGGUGAUCGGCCACACUGGGACUGAGACACGGCCCAGACUCCUACGGGAGGCAGCAGUAGGGAAUCUUCGGCAAUGGGGGCAACCCUGACCGAGCAACGCCGCGUGAGUGAAGAAGGUUUUCGGAUCGUAAAGCUCUGUUGUAAGUCAAGAACGAGUGUGAGAGUGGAAAGUUCACACUGUGACGGUAGCUUACCAGAAAGGGACGGCUAACUACGUG